RNAcentral lists this ribosomal RNA (243 nucleotides) under uncultured bacterium. RNAcentral's name for it is "partial small subunit ribosomal RNA". It matches the Rfam family "Bacterial small subunit ribosomal RNA", at positions 26 to 285 of the family's 1533-position model. The record is from RNAcentral.
AGAAUCAACGCUGGCGGCGUGCCUAACACAUGCAAGUCGAACGAGAAAGUGGAGCAAUCCAUGAGUAAAGUGGCGACCGGGUGAGUAACACGUGACUACCUACCCUUGAGUGGGGGAUAACCUCGGGAAACCGAGGCUAAUACCGCAUAGUAUCGAAAGAUCAAAGGAGUAAUCCGCUUUUGGAGGGGUCGCGGCUGAUUAGCUAGUUGGUAGGGUAAUGGCCUACCAAGGCGAAGAUCGGUA